GCUAUGGCGGUAUAUUGUCUGGGAGGUUUACAGUCGAAGUUUGGUCUGGGUCGGGGAAUGUUUUGGCGGGUAGGUGGCGACGGGUAGUGAGAAGUCUGGUAUUGUAUGCUUGGUACACAGGUGCGGGUUGGGAAUAUCUGGGGUAAGUGGGUUGAUACGUUGGUGGUGGAGGUGAUUGGUAAGUGGGUGGCAGAAUUUGGUAAGUGGAUGAUGGUGCUUGGUAGUUUAGGGUAGGUUUAUAUGUGAGUGGAGCUGAGGGAUAGGUUUGGUACUUCAUAGGGG
Molecule: long non-coding RNA, 282 nt
Filed under: Nicotiana benthamiana
Lineage: Eukaryota; Viridiplantae; Streptophyta; Magnoliopsida; Solanales; Solanaceae
Description: long non-coding RNA (NBEN_LNC040327)
Source: RNAcentral